ACAAGCAGCGGAGCGAUGUGGUUUAAUUCGAAGCAACGCGAAGAACUUACCAGAUCUUGACAUCCAAUUGACCAUCUUUUAUCGAGAUUUUGCCUUCGGUACAAUUGAGACAGGUGGUGCAUGGUUGUCGUCAGCUCGUGUCGUGAGAUGUUGGGUUAAGUCCCGCAACGAGCGCAACCCUUGUGUUUAGUUGCAAACAGGUCAAGCUGUGCACUCUAGACAGACUGCCGUGGACAACACGGAGGAAGGUGGGGAUGACGUCAAAUCAUCAUGCCCCUUAUGAUCUGGGCUACACACGUGCUACAAUGGCCGGUACAACGGGCAGCGAAGGAGCGAUCCGGAGCGAAUCCUAAAAAGCCGGUCCCAGUUCGGAUUGCAGGCUGAAACUCGCCUACAUGAAGUUGGAGUUGCUAGUAAUCGCGAAUCAGAAUGUCGCGGUGAAUGCGUUCCCGGGUCUU
This 458-nucleotide ribosomal RNA is filed under the name uncultured Fusibacter sp. RNAcentral describes it as "bacterial SSU rRNA". It matches the Rfam family "Bacterial small subunit ribosomal RNA", at positions 925 to 1382 of the family's 1533-position model. Lineage: Bacteria; Bacillati; Bacillota; Clostridia; Eubacteriales; Fusibacteraceae. The record is from RNAcentral.